GAGGGUAUAGCUCAGUGGCGGAGCACAUGCUUAGCAUGCAUCAGGUCCUGGGUUUGAUCCCCAGUAUCUCCA
This 72-nucleotide transfer RNA is filed under the name Camelus ferus (Wild Bactrian camel). It matches the Rfam family "tRNA". Rfam says of the family: Transfer RNA (tRNA) molecules are approximately 80 nucleotides in length. Lineage: Eukaryota; Metazoa; Chordata; Mammalia; Artiodactyla; Camelidae. The record is from Rfam by way of RNAcentral.